UACGGAGGGAGCUAGCGUUGUUCGGAAUUACUGGGCGUAAAGCGUGCGCAGGCGGUUUUGUAAGUUUGUCGCGAAAGCCCCGGGCUCAACCUGGGAAUGGCAUUUGUGACUGGAAGGCUAGAGUGUGUCAGAGGGGGGUAGAAUUCCACGUGUAGCAGUGAAAUGCGUAGAGAUGUGGAGGAAUACCGAUGGCGAAGGCAGCCCCCUGGGAUAACACUGACGCUCAUGCACGAAAGCGUGGGGAGCAAACAGG
This 253-nucleotide ribosomal RNA is filed under the name uncultured bacterium. Its description in RNAcentral is "partial 16S ribosomal RNA". It matches the Rfam family "Bacterial small subunit ribosomal RNA", at positions 524 to 776 of the family's 1533-position model. The record is from RNAcentral.